GCCCUAGUAGCUCAAUGGUUAAGCACUCAGCUGCUAACUAAAAGGUUGGUGGUUCGAGCCCACCCAGGGGAA
Molecule: transfer RNA, 72 nt
Filed under: Loxodonta africana (African savanna elephant)
Lineage: Eukaryota; Metazoa; Chordata; Mammalia; Proboscidea; Elephantidae
Rfam family: tRNA
About the family: Transfer RNA (tRNA) molecules are approximately 80 nucleotides in length. Their secondary structure includes four short double-helical elements and three loops (D, anti-codon, and T loops).
Source: Rfam by way of RNAcentral